CCUACGGGUGGCAGCAGUGAGGAAUAUUGGUCAAUGGGCGGGAGCCUGAACCAGCCAAGUCGCGUGAGGGAAGACGGUCCUAUGGAUUGUAAACCUCUUUAGGCGGGGAGCAAUGCCGGGCACGCGUGCCCGGAGGGAGAGUACCCGCAGAAUAAGCAUCGGCUAACUCCGUGCCAGCAGCCGCGGUAAUACGGAGGAUGCGAGCGUUAUCCGGAUUUAUUGGGUUUAAAGGGUGCGUAGGCGGAUUUUUAAGUCAGCGGUAAAAUGUCCGGGCUCAACCCGGGCCGGCCGUUGAAACUGGGGAGCUUGAGUGGGCGAGAAGUAUGCGGAAUUCGUGGUGUAGCGGUGAAAUGCUUAGAUAUCACGAAGAACCCCGAUGGCGAAGGCAGCUUACUAAACUGUGACUGACAUUGAUGCACGAGAGCGUGGGUAGCGAACAGGAUUAGAUACCCGUGUAGUC
RNAcentral lists this ribosomal RNA (460 nucleotides) under uncultured bacterium. Its description in RNAcentral is "partial 16S ribosomal RNA". It matches the Rfam family "Bacterial small subunit ribosomal RNA", at positions 338 to 795 of the family's 1533-position model. The record is from RNAcentral.